AUGAGGCUCGACGGCAUGGAGCGCGUCUUCUGGAUGACCGGCGACUACAAGUCCCACCCCGACGACGGCUACAACAAGACCGCCGUGCCCGUCGUGGAGAACAUCAGCUACCAGGACGGCGCGCCCUUCAAGGGCAUCUGCAUGGCCAACGUCACCACUGAGAUGACCAAGGAGAGGAAGGUGUCGUGGAACUGCGCCGAUGUCGAGGGCGUGUCGGCCGGCGUCACCCCGGCGCCAUGUGCGCCGCUGCAGGGCACCCACGCCGGCUCCUGCCUGUUCCCUACGGACACGCUCGCCGUCGACCAGAUCGCCGUGCAGCAAUGCUCAUACUCCAUUGCACCAGCUGCUUCUUCAGUGACUGGGACAGAGUAG
RNAcentral lists this ribosomal RNA (372 nucleotides) under Triticum aestivum (bread wheat). RNAcentral's name for it is "partial small subunit ribosomal RNA". Lineage: Eukaryota; Viridiplantae; Streptophyta; Magnoliopsida; Poales; Poaceae. The record is from RNAcentral.